RNAcentral lists this ribosomal RNA (473 nucleotides) under uncultured bacterium. Its description in RNAcentral is "bacterial SSU rRNA". It matches the Rfam family "Bacterial small subunit ribosomal RNA", at positions 917 to 1382 of the family's 1533-position model. The record is from RNAcentral.
GGGCUCACACAAGCGGUGGAGCAUGUGGAUUAAUUCGAAGCAACGCGCAGAACCUUACCUGGGUUUGACAUGCUUGGAUGCCCGCCUGGAAACAGGUUGGGCUGCCUUCGGGUGAAACUUGCACAGGUGCUGCAUGGCUGUCGUCAGCUCGUGUCGUGAGAUGUCGGGUUAAGUCCUCUAACGAGCGAAACCCUUGCCGUUAGUUACCAGCGGGUCAUGCCGGGAACUCUAACGGGACUGCCGGUGUUAAACCGGAGGAAGGUGGGGAUGACGUCAAGUCAUCAUGGCCUUUAUGCCCAGGGCCUCACACGUGCUACAAUGGUCGGAACAAAGCGACGCAAGACCGCGAGGUGGCGCAAAUCGCAAAAAUCCGGCCCCAGUUCGGAUUGCAGGCUGGCAACUCGCCUGCAUGAAGUUGGAAUCGCUAGUAAUCGCGUAUCAGCGAUGACGCGGUGAAUGUGUUCCUGAGCCUU